Molecule: ribosomal RNA, 502 nt
Filed under: Bacillus cereus
Lineage: Bacteria; Bacillati; Bacillota; Bacilli; Caryophanales; Bacillaceae
Description: bacterial SSU rRNA
Rfam family: Bacterial small subunit ribosomal RNA
Source: RNAcentral
ACGGAGCAACGCCGCGUGAGUGAUGAAGGCUUUCGGGUCGUAAAACUCUGUUGUUAGGGAAGAACAAGUGCUAGUUGAAUAAGCUGGUUCUUUCAUGGCACCUAACCAGAAAGCCACGGAUAACUACGCGCCAGCAGGCGCGGUAAUACGUAGGUGGCAAGCCUUAUCCGGAAUUAUUGGGCGUAAAGCGCGCGCAGGUGGUUUGUUAAGUCUGAUGUGAAAGCCCACGGCUCAACCCGUGGAGGGUCAUUGGAAACUGGGAGACUUGAGUGCAGAAGAGGAAAGUGGAAUUCCAUGUGUAGCGGUGAAAUGCGUAGAGAUAUGGAGGAACACCAGUGGCGAAGGCGACUUUCUGGUCUGUAACUGACACUGAGGCGCGAAAGCGUGGGGAGCAAACAGGAUUAGAUACCCUGGUAGUCCACGCCGUAAACGAUGAGUGCUAAGUGUUAGAGGGUUUCCGCCCUUUAGUGCUGAAGUUAACGCAUUAAGCACCUCGCCUGGG